GGGGAAUAUUGGACAAUGGGCGCAAGCCUGAUCCAGCAACGCCGCGUGGAGGAUGAAGGCCUUCGGGUUGUAAACUCCUGUUAGGGGGAACGAAGGGUCGCGGGUUAACAGCCGGUGACCUUGACGGUACCUCCAGAGGAAGCCCCGGCUAACUCUGUGCCAGCAGCCGCGGUAAUACAGAGGGGGCGAGCGUUAUUCGGAAUUAUUGGGCGUAAAGGGCGCGUAGGCGGCUUGGCAAGUCAAAGGUGAAAUCCCUCGGCUCAACCGAGGAACUGCCUUUGAAACUGCCGGGCUCGAGGCCGGGAGAGGGUAGUGGAAUUCCCAGUGUAGCGGUGAAAUGCGUAGAUAUUGGGAGGAACACCGGUGGCGAAGGCGGCUACCUGGACCGGUUCUGACGCUGAGGCGCGAAAGCGUGGGGAGCAAAC
Molecule: ribosomal RNA, 425 nt
Filed under: uncultured bacterium
Lineage: Bacteria
Description: bacterial SSU rRNA
Rfam family: Bacterial small subunit ribosomal RNA
Source: RNAcentral